AUCAUAUCAUUUGAUAUCUUAAAGAUGAUAAAAGGUUUCCUUACAAAAUCCCUGUGAUUGGUAUUGUCUCAAGGUGAUCACACACAAACUCGAUAUCAACUCGAGUAUCACACACGCAAGGUUAAUAAGAACUCAACUCUUAUUGCUUUAGUAAAAUCACACAAACCUAAAGCUCACAACUCACGUAAGUUAUACCACAUAUUGGUAUCUCCUUAUAUACUACUUAAUUAAUCCUAAUCUCAAUAGUAUUACAUAGUUUCCAUAUUUCCUAUUUCCUUUUCUCAUAAGAAAUAGAUAACUUCCAUAUCAAGUUAUUCCAUGCUUAUCCAACAUUCUCCCUCUUAAGCUUGGAAUCACUUGUAUCCACAUCUUGUACUCCUAUGAAGUCUCUCAUUUCUUUAAAUUUGAUCCUUCCCAAAGCUUUGGUUAAGAUAUCCGCCUUUUGUUUGUCACCAGAGAUAUGCUCGACUUCAAUUUGUCCUUUCUCCACACAUUCCCUUAUAAAGUGAAAUCUAGAGUGUAUAUGUUUGCUUCGACCAUGGAACACCGGAUUCUUCGUAAGUGCGAUUGCUGAUUUGUUAUCAAUUCGUAUAGUGAUCUUCUCACAUGGACGUCCAAGAAUCUCGCUUAACAAUUCUUGUAACCACAGCGCUUGUCUUGCUGCUUCAGUUCCAGCCAUGAACUCUGCUUCGCAAGAUGAGAGUGCAACAACUUCUUGUUUCUGUGAGCACCAAGUGAUUGGGCUUUCUCCGAGAUAGAAGAUAUGGCCUGUGGUGCUCUUGCCAUCAUCAACAUCGUUGUUAUAGCUACUGUCGCUAUAUCCAAGUAGUCUUGGUACCUUUGAUACCAUUCUCUGAAACGUGAGACCAAGAUUAGUGGAACCUCGCAGGUAUCUUAAGCACUGCUUCAUUGCCGUGCCAUGAGAUUCUUUCGGACAGUGCAUGUAACGGCUCAAAACGCCCACAGAAUAGGCCACGUCCGGACGUGUGUGAAGCAGAUAUCGUAGACAGCCAACGUUUCUUCUGAACUCUGUUGCGUCGAUCUCUCUCUCUCCAUCAGCUCUUGAUAGCUUUAGUCCUGCUUCCAUCGGUGUCUGAACAGGGUUACAUUGAUUCAUCCCUGCCUCUUCUAAUAUCUUUUGUGCAUACCGGUUUUGAUUCAGCGUUAUUCCUCCACUAUGCUGAUUUACUUCUAUCCCGAGAUAGUAGGUUAAUCUACCAAGAUCGCUCAUAUCAAAUUUUGAUGCCAUCAUGCCUUUAAACUCAUCAAUGACUCCCUUGUUGGUUCCUGUAACAAACAGGUCAUCAACAUAGACGGCUACCACAAGUAAGUGUCCGUUGAUCAUCUUUCGAUAUACGGACGGUUCCUUUGUACACUUUCGAAACUCCAUCUCAAUGAGAAUGCCAUUGAGCUUUGUGUUCCAGGCUCUUGGAGCUUGUCUUAAACCAUAUAAUGCCUUCUUAAGUUUGUAUACCUUGUGCUCUUGACCUUUUACCUCAAAACCCUCUGGUUGUGAAACGUAUACAACUUCUUUAAGCUCACCGUGCAAGAACGCUGUUUUUACAUCAAGGUGAUGUACCUCCCAACCAUAAGCUGCUGCCAAAUUCACUAGAAGUCGUAUUGUUUCGAGACGAGCCACUGGAGCAAAGACCUCGUCGAAGUCAAUACCAUAUUGUUGAACAUAUCCUUUCGCAACAAGUCUAGCUUUGAACUUGUUUAUACUCCCAUCUGCGUUUCGUUUCAGUUUGAAAACCCACUUCAGGCCAAUUGGCUUGACUCCAACGGGUAUUUCAACUAAGUCCCAUGUUUCGUUCUUGACUAUGGAAUCGAUCUCAUCCUCACAUGCUAGUGUCCAUUCUCUUGACUCGCUUGCUUCUCGAAAAUUCAAUGGUUCAUUGUUGAGACAUAGUAAAAGUCUUUCUCCUUCUUCUAUUGCAAGGAGAAUAUAAUCAUCCAAGUACUUUGGUUUGACACUUUGACGCUCUGAUCUUCUCAAAGAGGGCUGAGAUGUAUCUUCGGUGAGAGCUUCUUGUGACAAUGGAAGCUCCUCGUCAUCUGUCGACUCUAUAUCAAGACCGUGAUUCUCCCCAUCCUCAUCCUUAUGGCUUGUCUCAUCACUUUCGAUUUGGUUAUCCUGACUUAUAACACUUUCUUGGAGCCCACGAUUUCCAUGCGUGCUCAUUGUAAGAGUAAAUUCCUCAUCAUGUCUCUGGUCUUUAGAGAUCGUACUCCAAUCCCAGCCUUUCAUCUCAUCAAAAACAACAUCUCGACUUACUAUAACUCUCCGAUCUUGAGGAUCAUAUAGGCGAUAAGCCUUUGACCCUGGUUCUGUUCCGAGGUUAACCAGCAUCUUUGAUCUGUCAUCAAGUUUCUUCAGUUGUAUCUUCUCUAUCUUUGCGUAUCCAAUACAUCCAAAGACCCUUAGAUGACUUACAUUUGGUUUUUUGAGAUGAAAUAACUCAUAUGGAGUCUUGUCCUUGAGUGCUCGUGUAGCAAUUCUAUUCAGAAGGUAUGCUGAGUGUCGUAUUGCCUCUCCCCAAAACCAAUUUGGCAUGCUCAUAUGUUUUAACAUACUCCUGGUCAUCUCCAACAGGGUUCUGUUUCGUCUUUCGACGACGCCAUUCUGCUGCGGUGUGUACGGAGCAGUUAGAUGUCUCUUAACUCCAGAGUUCUCGCAGAAGAUGUUGAAUUCAUUGGAAGUAAACUCUCCACCUCUAUCUGUUCUAAAGGUUUGAAUCUUCUCUCCUGUCUCUUGUUCCACUAAACUCUUUAAUGUUUUGAAUUUUGUGAAGGCUUCGCUCUUAUCUUUCAUUAAGAUAGCCCACAUGUACCUUGAAUAAUCAUCAAUGAGGACAAAGAUGUAUCUCUUGCCACCCUGUGUACUUGGACUUAUUGGCCCGCAUAAGUCUCCAUGUAUCAGUUGUAGUCUCUUGUUAGCUCGGUAUUGUGUUGCUUGUGGAAACACUUGCCUUGUUUGUUUCCCUUUCAAGCAUGAUCCGCAUACCUCUCUUUCAAUGUUGAGCUUUGGAAUCCCUAACACGACCUCUCUUUGUAUCAUUGAUCUCAUUGUCUCAAGAUUUAUAUGUCCCAACCUUGCAUGCCAUCUGCUUGACUCCUUUGAUUCUGUCAGAGAAAGACUCGCGUCUGGUGUUAAGCUCAUGCACACUUUGUAUAGUCGGUUUCUCGAUCUGUUUGCUGUAACAAGCAACUUCCCAUUCUUAUCAUGCAUUGUAAGUUGAUCUCCUCUCAUCCGUAUAUCACAUCCAUCUUCUGUGGCUUGUCCUAGUGAGAUUAUAUUACUUUUUAAGUCAGGAAUGAAAUACACAUCCUUCAUCUUCAUUGACUCACCAUUCAUAUCAAUGAAUGAUAUUGUUCCCUUGCCUUUUAUGUCGAUGCGAGAGUCAUCACCAAACCUAACCUUGCCUGUUACUGAAGUGUUAACACUAGAGAAGUAUCUCUUAUCUCCUGUCAUAUGAUUACUCGCGCCAUUGUCGAGAUACCAAAUUUCUUCUCCAAUGUUUGUUUCAUAUUUUUCAGGCAUGACGUUUUUCUCAUUCAAGAAGACAGUUUCAUGCAUCAUCAACUCCUCUGCGUGUUGUGUCUCUGUAUUGUCAGAUUCUUGUGCUUCUUGCAGCUUUAACAAACGAUCUGGACAGUCCUGAGCAAAGUGUCCGGUUUUAUCACACCUAUAGCAUGUGAUUCGGCUAUAAUCGAAGUUUCUUCCACGACCUCUCCCUUGGUUGAAAGAGCGUCCUCCUCGACCUCUGCCUCUGUAGUCUCUGUUAUAGUCACGAUUUUGACCAUUGUAGUUUGAUGAUCUUCGAUCUUGACCUUCUGUAUUAGCAUACAUCAGCUUUCCUUUCUCUUCUUCAAUAUCUUCCUCCACAGAUACUCGCUCCUCAUAAGCCUUUAAACGCCCCACUAUGUCCUCAAAACCAGUGGUAUUAAGAUCUAGUACUUGUUCCAAUGAAGCCACAAUCUGUAUAUAUUUUUUUCGUGGGAGAGACUUUAAGAACUUCCGGACUAACUUCGGUUCUUCAAUGGUAGCUCCUAGCGCAGAUGAUUUUGAUGAAAUCUCUGAAAGUUUUCCAGCAAAAUCAUCAAUUUUAUCAGAAUCUUUCAUCUGUAAUCGAUCGAAUUCAGUCAUCAGCGUUUGAAGCCGAGCCUCCUUUACUCUUUCUGCUCCCAUGUUUCUCAACUUAAUAGCCUCCCACACUUUCUUUGCCGUAUCAAGCUCCCCAACUUGAAGUAUAAGAGCCUCGGGAAUGGAUUGAAACAACAAAGCCGUAGCCAUGUCAUUCUUAUCUCCAUCCGUAGACUCGGUCUCUAUCACCUCCCAAACCUUAUGAACCUUCAAUGUUAUCUUCAUUCUCAUAGCCCAUACUGUGUAGUUGCUUGAGGUGAGCAUUGGACACUUUAUGGAUGAAGGACCUCCGCCUUCUCUCCCUGCUGUAACUGGAAUCACUUCUCCCAUGGUUUCUUUUUCGAAGCUCUGAUACCACUUAUUGUCUCAAGGUGAUCACACACAAACUCGAUAUCAACUCGAGUAUCACACACGCAAGGUUAAUAAGAACUCAACUCUUAUUGCUUUAGUAAAAUCACACAAACCUAAAGCUCACAACUCACGUAAGUUAUACCACAUAUUGGUAUCUCCUUAUAUACUACUUAAU
RNAcentral lists this long non-coding RNA (4670 nucleotides) under Brassica napus (rape). Its description in RNAcentral is "long non-coding RNA (BNAP_LNC004875)". The record is from RNAcentral. Lineage: Eukaryota; Viridiplantae; Streptophyta; Magnoliopsida; Brassicales; Brassicaceae.